AUGAACGCUGGCGGCGUGCCUAAUACCUGCAAGUCGAGCGAACAGACGAGGAGCUUGCUCCUCUGACGUUAGCGGCGGACGGGUGAGUAACACGUGGAUAACCUACCUAUAAGACUGGGAUAACUUCGGGAAACCGGAGCUAAUACCGGAUAACAUGUUGAACCGCAUGGUUCAACAGUGAAAGACGGUCUUGCUGUCACUUAUAGAUGGAUCCGCGCCGCAUUAGCUAGUUGGUAAGGUAACGGCUUACCAAGGCAACGAUGCGUAGCCGACCUGAGAGGGUGAUCGGCCACACUGGAACUGAGACACGGUCCAGACUCCUACGGGAGGCAGCAGUAGGGAAUCUUCCGCAAUGGGCGAAAGCCUGACGGAGCAACGCCGCGUGAGUGAAGAAGGUCUUCGGAUCGUAAAACUCUGUUAUUAGGGAAGAACAAAUGUGUAAGUAACUAUGCACGUCUUGACGGUACCUAAUCAGAAAGCCACGGCUAACUACGUG
This 496-nucleotide ribosomal RNA is filed under the name uncultured bacterium. RNAcentral's name for it is "partial 16S ribosomal RNA". It matches the Rfam family "Bacterial small subunit ribosomal RNA", at positions 29 to 507 of the family's 1533-position model. The record is from RNAcentral.